Molecule: transfer RNA, 50 nt
Filed under: Gallus gallus (chicken)
Lineage: Eukaryota; Metazoa; Chordata; Aves; Galliformes; Phasianidae
Description: partial tRNA-Phe
Source: RNAcentral
CAAAGCAUGGCACUGAAGAUGCCAAGAUGGUACCUACUAUACCUGUGGGC